This is a long non-coding RNA of Cebus imitator (Panamanian white-faced capuchin), 489 nucleotides long. RefSeq lists it as uncharacterized. The record is from RefSeq and is a predicted model, not a curated record. NCBI's taxonomy places the organism in Eukaryota, Metazoa, Chordata, Mammalia, Primates, Cebidae. The transcript has 2 exons.
CCCCACCUGCUCCCUGUCCACAGCUCCACCCUGCUGGACACAGGCACUCAGCAAACAGCUGCGUGGGUUCCUGUUCUGGCAUACUGGAGAUGGACUCCCUGCAGAGGCCACUGACGGCCACCGAUCGUCACUGAGCGGCGCUUGUACGAGGUCAGUGUUCACAGGAGAAGCAAGGAGGAGCCUCAGCUGUCUAGGCACUGGACCGUUCAGUUGUUACAAGCCUACGAAAUCAAGUUCAGAGACAAGCUUUGUGCCCGAGGUCACAGAGCUAGCACACUGCUGAGCUGGAAUCUGCCUCCUCCGUCUGUCUGGCCUCAGUCCUUUUCACAAGGCCAAGGACCUCCUUCCUGGGAGAAGUUCUGUAGGGGUGGAUGUCUGUCUCUUGUUUCUGGUGCCUCACCAGGGUUUGGAAUGCUGCUGGGACACAGCAGGGGCUCAGUAACCCGUUUUAACAUGGUAAAAUAAACAACAAGAGUAAAAAUGGUACAC